This 1439-nucleotide ribosomal RNA is filed under the name Pilophorus discretus. RNAcentral's name for it is "SSU rRNA". It matches the Rfam family "Eukaryotic small subunit ribosomal RNA", at positions 484 to 1805 of the family's 1831-position model. The record is from RNAcentral. Lineage: Eukaryota; Metazoa; Arthropoda; Insecta; Hemiptera; Miridae.
UACGGGACUCAAUUGAGGCCCCGUAAUCGGAAUGAGUACACUUUAAAUCCUUUAACAAGGNUCCAUUGGAGGGCAAGUCAGGUGCCAGCAGCCGCGGUAAUUCCUGCUCCAAUAGCGUAUAUUAAAGUUGUUGCGGUUAAAAAGCUCGUAGUUGGUUCUGCGUGCCACGCUGUCGGUUCGCCGCCUGCCGGUGCUACUGGCAUGUCGUGGCAUGUCCUGUCGGUGGGUGUUCGGGGCCCCGUGCGGGCGGCAGGAGGCCGGGUGCAAAUCCGUGCUCCUCCCUGCACGUCGGCGGGUUCACUCCGGCUCCCUACUAUCCUACCUAGGUGCUCUUCACCGAGUGUCGAGGUAGGCCGACACGUUUACUUUGAACAAAUCAGAGUGCUUAAAGCAGGCUGAAAAAUUCUGCCUGAAUGAUGGCGCAUGGAAUAAUAAAACAGGACCUUGGUUCUAUUUUGUUGGUUCUUAGGAACACAAGGUAAUGAUCAAUAAGGACAGGCGGGGGCAUUCGUAUUGCGGGGUUAGACUUGGCAAAUGCUUUCGCGGUGAAAUUCUUGGAUCCUCGCAAGACGACCGAGAGCGAAAGCAUUUGCCAAGUAUGUCUCGAUUGAUCAAGAACGAAAGUUAGAGGUUCGAAGGCGAUCAGAUACCGCCCUAGUUCUAACCAUAAACGAUGCCAGCCAGCGAUCCGCCGAUGUUCCUCCGAUGACUCGGCGGGGAGCUUCUCCCCCGGGAAACCAAAGCUUUUGGGUUCCGGGGGAAGGUAUGGUUGCAAAGCUGAAACUUAAAGGAAUUGACGGAAGGGCACCACCAGGAGUGGAGCCUGCGGCUUAAUUUGACUCAACACGGGAAACCUCACCAGGUCAGGACAUUGUAAGGAUUGACAGAUUGAUAGCUCUUUCUUGAUUCAGUGGGUAGUGGUGCAUGGCCGUUCUUAGUUGGUGGAUCGAUUUGUCUGGUUAAUUCCGAUAACGAACGAGACUCUAGCCUAUUAACUAGACGAUCCGAGAGCCCACGUCUCUCGCGACAAUCACUCUUCUUAAGGGGACAGGCGGCUUAUAGUCGCACGAGAUUGAGCAAUAACAGGUCUGUGAUGCCCUUAGAUGUCCUGGGCCGCACGCGCGCUACAAUGAAAGAAUCAGCGUGUGUCUCCCUGCCCGAGAGGGCUGGGUAAUCCGCUGAACCUCUUUCGUGCUUGGGAUUGUAGCUUGCAAUUGUUCUUCAUGAACGAGGAAUUCCCAGUAAGCGCGAGUCAUAAGCUCGCGUUGAUUACGUCCCUGCCCUUUGUACACACCGCCCGUCGCUACUACCGAUUGAAUGAUUUAGUGAGGUCUUCGGACCGGCGGGAAAUCCCUAUCGCUCCGGCGGUAUCGACGAACGCUGGGAAGAUGACCAAACUUGAUCAUUUAGAGGAAGUAAAAGUCGUAACAAGGUUUCCG